Molecule: long non-coding RNA, 947 nt
Organism: Capsicum annuum
Lineage: Eukaryota; Viridiplantae; Streptophyta; Magnoliopsida; Solanales; Solanaceae
Exons: 4
Source: RefSeq, a predicted model, not a curated record
AGAUAACUUGCUUUAUAUAGGUUUUUUCGGGUUCAAAAGCUAAUGUACUUAACCAACGUAAAAGUUCUUUAUGAAGCUAGAGGAGAAAGUGCAUGCCAAAGAGGAAGAAAUGCAUCAGCUCCAAGCAAGAACCUAGGAAAAGAAAGAAGCAGAGAUCAAACAGCUACGGAGAAAUCUCAAUUUCAAAGAAACUCCCAUGCCUGCUUUCUACAGUGAACCUAGUUGCCGCUCAGUAAAAAACAAGGAGUUAGCAAGUAAAACUAAAUCCAGUAAAUAACAAAGCAGGCCUUCGACUGUAGGGGCUAGAGCUACUAGUACAAUAGAGAACACUAUUCGUUAUUCAAGGGCAGAAGUUUAUAACAGAUGUUUCACUAAUGAACGUCUAAAUAUGGCCGAUUCACCACAAGUUUCAGAAGUAACCGUUUAUUCUUUAGCAGAGUUAUUAGACAGCAGCGUGCCGUCUUCAGCUCCAACAAGCAAAACAUCCAAGCAAACCCAAUCAAAUUGAACGGUAACUCAAAAGAAAGCGCAAGAGAAAAGGCUGGUCGCAAAUUCUCCAAGACUAAGAACAUCAGAUUGUAUCAAGAGGAGCAAGGACUUUAAAGCUAAAUACAAAACAAAGGUUGUUGCGCGAAGAACAGGAAACAAUGCAAUGAGAAAGGAUAUUAGAAGUCUGGACUUGAGCCAUAGUACAAGAGUGGGUCGUUUAGCUGUUGGUGUUGCUUCCUAGACACCGUCAUGCUAUUUAGUUGUUGCUGUUGGUGUGAAUCUUGUUAUAUUCUAGCAUAGCAAAGAUGAUUGGUCUCGUAUUUGAGACGAUUUACUUAGUGAGUAGGUUAGCAUUUCUGUUAGAUAUGCUGCAUAUAAUUAUCUCUAGUUUUAGAUAGAUAAUGUCUUUAAGCCAAGUUCUUGAUAUAUACCAUAAAUGUUGUGCUAUUAAAGAUCAA